CAGAGGCCACCUCACUGACCCCUGGUUCCACCUCUGCUUUAUAGCAGGCAAAACAACUGGCCUUUUCAGAGGCAGUCUGGAUUCUGGAGUCACACCUCUGUCCCACUAUCUCCCUCACCCUUCCUCCCCAGGAAGAAGAAAGGAACCUACAUGGUCCGGGCCCACUGCCUUGCCCUGAAUUACAAGUAUUGCUCCAGACUCACGUCACGGGCAAGGUGGGAGGAUAACACAUGACAACACCCCUGGAGACCCACCAUCUGCCAGCUGCGGCAGGAGCUGCACACACCUUAUCUCAAAGGACCAUAACCCCUGAUUCUGGUGGCCAAGAAGUCAACUUGAGGGGUGAAGCCAAUAUUCAAAAAAGGAAACAGACCCUGGCACAGUUCUUGAAGCUGGAACUUUCACUCCUCCCUGCAGCUCUUUGCACAGCUGGCUCCUGGCACCCACCAAGUCGGGGCGUGG
Long non-coding RNA from Octodon degus (degu), 462 nucleotides. RefSeq lists it as uncharacterized. NCBI's taxonomy places the organism in Eukaryota, Metazoa, Chordata, Mammalia, Rodentia, Octodontidae. The transcript has 3 exons. The record is from RefSeq and is a predicted model, not a curated record.